GAUGAACGCUGGCGGCGUGCCUAAUACAUGCAAGUCGAGCGAACAGACGAGGAGCUUGCUCCUCUGACGUUAGCGGCGGACGGGUGAGUAACACGUGGAUAACCUACCUAUAAGACUGGGAUAACUUCGGGAAACCGGAGCUAAUACCGGAUAAUAUAUUGAACCGCAUGGUUCAAUAGUGAAAGACGGUUUUGCUGUCACUUAUAGAUGGAUCCGCGCCGCAUUAGCUAGUUGGUAAGGUAACGGCUUACCAAGGCGACGAUGCGUAGCCGACCUGAGAGGGUGAUCGGCCACACUGGAACUGAGACACGGUCCAGACUCCUACGGGAGGCAGCAGUAGGGAAUCUUCCGCAAUGGGCGAAAGCCUGACGGAGCAACGCCGCGUGAGUGAUGAAGGUCUUCGGAUCGUAAAACUCUGUUAUUAGGGAAGAACAAAUGUGUAAGUAACUAUGCACGUCUUGACGGUACCUAAUCAGAAAGCCACGGCUAAGUACGUG
Molecule: ribosomal RNA, 497 nt
Filed under: uncultured bacterium
Lineage: Bacteria
Description: partial 16S ribosomal RNA
Rfam family: Bacterial small subunit ribosomal RNA
Source: RNAcentral